GCCAGCAGCCAUAUCACCCUGCAGCUCUCGACUCAGCAGGGUUGAGCCUGGUCAGUACCUGGAUGGGAGAUCCCCUGGGAAGCUAUGGUUGCUGCUGAAA
This 100-nucleotide ribosomal RNA is filed under the name Lepisosteus oculatus (spotted gar). The record is from RNAcentral. Lineage: Eukaryota; Metazoa; Chordata; Actinopteri; Semionotiformes; Lepisosteidae.